This 253-nucleotide ribosomal RNA is filed under the name uncultured bacterium. RNAcentral's name for it is "partial 16S ribosomal RNA". It matches the Rfam family "Bacterial small subunit ribosomal RNA", at positions 524 to 776 of the family's 1533-position model. The record is from RNAcentral.
UACGUAGGGACCAAGCGUUGUCCGGAAUCAUUGGGCGUAACGAGCGUGUAGGCGGCUUGUUAAGUCUUGCGUGAAAUCUCGGGGCUCAACCCCGAGCGGUCGUGAGAAACUGGCAGGCUAGAGUGCGGGAGAGGAGAGUGGAAUUCCUGGUGUAGCGGUGAAAUGCGCAGAUAUCAGGAAGAACACCCGUGGCGAAGGCGGCUCUCUGGAACGCAACUGACGCUGAGACGCGAAAGCGUGGGGAGCAAACAGG